RNAcentral lists this unclassified non-coding RNA (345 nucleotides) under soil metagenome. RNAcentral's name for it is "partial contains 5.8S ribosomal RNA, internal transcribed spacer 2, and large subunit ribosomal RNA". The stretch from base 1 to 120 matches the Rfam family "5.8S ribosomal RNA", at positions 35 to 154 of the family's 154-position model. The record is from RNAcentral.
GAUGAAGAACGCAGCGAAAUGCGAUACGUAAUGUGAAUUGCAGAAUUCAGUGAAUCAUCGAGUCUUUGAACGCACAUUGCGCCCCCUGGUAUUCCGGGGGGCAUGCCUGUCCGAGCGUCAUUGCUGCCCUCAAUCACGGCUUGUGUGUUGGGCCUCCGUCCUCCUCCCGGGGGACGGGCCCGAAAGGCAGCGGCGGCACCGCGUCCGGUCCUCGAGCGUAUGGGGCUUCGUCACCCGCUCUUGUAGGCCCGGCCGGCGCUUGCCGACACAUCAAUCUUUUUUCCAGGUUGACCUCGGAUCAGGUAGGGAUACCCGCUGAACUUAAGCAUAUCAAUAAGCGGAGGA